This is an RNA transcript of Penaeus indicus, 1251 nucleotides long. RefSeq lists it as uncharacterized. The transcript is spliced from 3 exons. NCBI's taxonomy places the organism in Eukaryota, Metazoa, Arthropoda, Malacostraca, Decapoda, Penaeidae. The record is from RefSeq and is a predicted model, not a curated record.
UGCCGCUCGCCGCCACACGAAAAAGAGCUCGCGAGACCCCCCACCCCUUUGCGUGAACGUCCUCGUCGCGAACGGCUCUGAGGGGAGCGCUGGAACGGCGAAGGAGCCAGAUGGUCCACUCCCUCCUCCUAGCGAAGAAAAGUAUCGCGAGUCCAGUUAGCGAGCAAGGGGCAGGUCGGGCAAGAGCAGCAGCAGCAGCGGCGGCGGCGGCGGCGGCUGAGCGGCAGCAUGGAGGCGGUGGGGUUCCCACGGACCUCCAGAGUCAGUGUUCCCUGGACCGUGUGCGAGCGAAGACCAGCUGAUCGUUGGCUCACCGCGCCCUCGAAAGUUGUGUCCCGCGUGUGUGUGUGUUGUGCGAGCGAGCGGGCCGCCGGAGAGGCACUCCCGCCGCGCCCCGCCUCCUUCGCUGCUGCUGCCAGUCGGGGGGUUUUAUACAGCAGUCCUUACAGCUGCGAAAUAUGGAUGAGUGAUUCGCUGCGUUAUGGCCAAAGUGUGAUGAAUGUGUGAUGAGAUCUUGGGUGAUACAUUGGGCGAAUUUACCUUCGAUCUAAUUAUCUUUCUGUUGCAUAAUAUUUUGUUAUUUUUUCUCGGAUCAAGGCUUGAAUAAAUGAGAUAAAGAGAGGAAUAAAUAUAAAUCACCCAUGGCUUAAAACGUGGAAAGAUAAAAAAAGAAAAAAAAUGCCAGAUCUCGCGAGAGUGUCGUUGGAACACCGCUCUAAUUCUGCACUACUUGUACAAGGGUGCGGUGUGUAGAUAGUCAAGUCCUUAUCCCAUUGUUACGCAGUCCCCCAAGUGCGUUAGAACGUGUGUCGUCGCCAUGAAGAAGCUGGACCAAGCGAGUGCCAUGGAGGACGUAGCCCACCGCCGUUGCAACAAGUGCCGGGAGGCGUGUCCGGGCUUCGAGGCACAUUUCUGGAGGUGAGUCACGGGUCAUCAGUCAUACAGGAUAAAGUAACAAGCAAAUCCGGUGAGUAAAGAAAAUUUAAAAAUAGGCCUACAUAGUUAAAAGUAAAUAGAUAUAUACUCAUAUACACAUACUAUAGUUAUAGGCCUAUGUUGAGGGCCACGAUUGGGACUUUAAUAUAUUCCUCCACAGUGCCAGAAACUACAGAGGAACUAUAAGGAGAGAAAGAUAAAAAGGAACAGACGUGAGAAGAGGGGAAAUGUACUAGGUGCCAGAGAGUGCCAGUGAGCGUACGAUAUGCAUAAUAAGGGUAGUGGUCGUGGGAGGGGGGGGAGGGUAGUGCCUGC